UACGUAGGUGGCAAGCGUUGUCCGGAAUUAUUGGGCGUAAAGCGCGCGCAGGUGGUUCCUUAAGUCUGAUGUGAAAGCCCACGGCUCAACCGUGGAGGGUCAUUGGAAACUGGGGAACUUGAGUGCAGAAGAGGAAAGUGGAAUUCCAAGUGUAGCGGUGAAAUGCAUAGAGAUUUGGAGGAACACCAGUGGCGAAGGCGACUUUCUGGUCUGUAACUGACACUGAGGCGCGAAAGCGUGGGGAGCAAACAGG
Molecule: ribosomal RNA, 253 nt
Filed under: uncultured bacterium
Lineage: Bacteria
Description: partial 16S ribosomal RNA
Rfam family: Bacterial small subunit ribosomal RNA
Source: RNAcentral